UACAAAAUAAUUUUUGGUAACAUAAUAACCUUAUUGUUUUCUUUAUUUGUUUAUUCAUUGAUUGCAUUUUGAUUGCUUGAAUGCUUGCUUCCAGAAUCACAAGGCGAUCAAUGCUAUCAAAAUCUUUCUUCCAGAAUCAUCAUUUCACCCACAUAUUAAUUUGAAAAAUACUAGAAAUGAACUCCGAAAAGGUUAAAAUUUGGCAUGGUAUCAUCAUUUCACCCACAUAGUAUGUGCUAAACAGUUGAGCGUGUUACAACAAAAACAGGAUGCACUUCGUGUAUAAACUGGACAAUCUCUUUUGAAGUAUGAGGAUUUAGGACGAAAACUCAUGUGUUACAAAGGCAUUUCAUUUUUAAGCUUAUUUCAACUCCAGACUUUUUGUGCGUUCAAUAUGAACCAUUCAAAGCCGCAUCAUCAAUUUUUAAUCCUUUCUGACUUCAUUUGCUACUUUUCAUGAAUUUAAUGAUUCUUUUGAGCUAAAUGACUGUGAAAUUGAAAAGCACUACAAAUGAACUCCAAAAAGGUUGAAAUUUGGCAUGGUAUCAUGAUUUCACCCACAUAGCAUGUGCUAAAAAGUUGAGAUCGUUACGAGACAAACAAGAUGCACUUUGUGUACAAACUGUACAAUCUCUUUUGAAGUAUGAGGGUUUUGGACGAAAAUUCAUAUGUUACAAAGCCAUUUCAUUAUUUAAGCUUAUUUCAUAUGUUACUAAAAGGACAGGAAUAAUUGAAAAUUCAUACCUUAAUAAAUAAUUAUUCUACAAUCUCGUUUCAAAUGCCAAAAUGCCCUAGCUAAGAUUCAUUUCGGUUUGUCCCUUGGUUAUUGCAUGUAACCAUGAAUAAUAUUCAUCAUUUAGCAGGAUGCUUGGGCCAGUCUUCUCUGUGGAGGGAGUAAUGUCAUGAAACUUUUCAUAAUCUAUUGACAUGUCUAUCUUGUCCUCCACUCCGAGGAUGUUUCUUUUCCGUGAAAGAACUAUGUGGCUCUUUGGCUCAUCGUAUGAUGUAUUCGCUUCCUUAUCUUUUCUUUUUCUCAGUUUGGUAGACAUGUCCUUCACAUAGAAAACCCGUGCCACAUCAUUGUCUAGGACGAAUGGUUUGUCCGUGUACCCAAGAUUAUUGAGAUCCAUUGUUGUCAUUCCGUAUUGUAGGUCUAACUGUACCCCGCCUCCUGUCACAUUGACCCAUUUCACCGAAACAAAGGGACCUUAAAAUCAUCACGCCCAUAAUCAAGUUCCCAUGAGAUGUGUUUGCAGCCAACCGCCGAAAUUCCCCAUGUGUUCACGUGUAAUCCAGUCAUCACACUCUCCGGGUGUUUGGAGCAUAGAAUAUUCUUGUCUUCAUUGAUAUACGGGGGCCACCAAGGUAGAAUUUUGUAUAACUAUGUGGUGUGCUUGCACCCAAGAUUGCUUGUCCCUACAUAUUAUUGAGUUUGGUCCUAGCAUGCCUCUUCCACUGAGUCACCCAUCAUGCAGCGACCGAGGAACACCAUUCGGCUUAAUGUCACGAACAAACUCAAUGACCUCCUCCAUUUCAUGGCCCUUGGAGAUGCUUCCUUCUGUCCUAGCAUGGUUACGAGCAUAUUUCUUUAAGAC
This 1595-nucleotide long non-coding RNA is filed under the name Hordeum vulgare. RNAcentral describes it as "long non-coding RNA (HVUL_LNC017101)". The record is from RNAcentral. Lineage: Eukaryota; Viridiplantae; Streptophyta; Magnoliopsida; Poales; Poaceae.